This is a non-coding RNA of Chanos chanos (milkfish), 516 nucleotides long. NCBI's taxonomy places the organism in Eukaryota, Metazoa, Chordata, Actinopteri, Gonorynchiformes, Chanidae. The record is from the annotation of a RefSeq genome assembly.
AUGUCUGCCUGUCAGGACCUCAAACUCUGGUCUCCAGUGGUCAUUACCGGGAUCCCAAAUGUUGUGUUCACACUUCAGCUGAAACAGAUCCAGAUCGGAGACUAUGUGACACUGGACUGCAACAUUUCUUUCCACCAUGAGAUUACAUGGCUGAGAGUGAGGUCCGGGAUGGAUCCCGAAGUGGUGGUGGUCGCUGGCCUAAACAGUGAUGGGCAGAUGUCUACUGUUUGGAGCAUGGGCAGUAACCAUUUCUCAGGCUCAGUUAAGAACAGAUCCAUAGCUCUAAUAAUUAGAAAUGUCUCAGAGGAAGAUUUGGGCUCCUAUUACUGCGUCACUAAGGACGGCAGAAUGCUACAGUUUGGAAAAGGGGCACACCUAUAUGAAACCUUGAAGAUCUCGUGUGGAUCCUCUCAGUUAUACCAAAUAUACGCUGCAGUGCUGGGCAUUGGACAGCUGAUGAUGAUUGUAGCAGUUGUAAUUGUGCACAUGAAGACCAAGAAAAGAAAUAAAGACUGA